GCAGGCUUAACACAUGCAAGUCGAGGGGCAGCAUUUUAUUUUGCUUGCAAACUGAAGAUGGCGACCGGCGCACGGGUGAGUAACACGUAUCCAACCUGCCGAUAACUCCGGAAUAGCCUUUCGAAAGAAAGAUUAAUACCGGAUAGUAUACGAAUAUCGCAUGAUAUUUUUAUUAAAGAAUUUCGGUUAUCGAUGGGGAUGCGUUCCAUUAGUUUGUUGGCGGGGUAACGGCCCACCAAGACUACGAUGGAUAGGGGUUCUGAGAGGAAGGUCCCCCACAUUGGAACUGAGACACGGUCCAAACUCCUACGGGAGGCAGCAGUGAGGAAUAUUGGUCAAUGGGCGAGAGCCUGAACCAGCCAAGUAGCGUGAAGGAUGAAGGCCCUAUGGGUCGUAAACUUCUUUUAUAUGGGAAUAAAGUUUUCCACGUGUGGAAUUUUGUAUGUACCAUAUGAAUAAGGAUCGGCUAACUCCGUGCCAGCAGCCGCGGUAAUACGGAGGAUCCGAGCGUUAUCCGGAUUUAUUGGGUUUAGAGGGAGCGUAGGUGGACUGGUAAGUCAGUUGUGAAAGUUUGCGGCUCAACCGUAAAAUUGCAGUUGAUACUGUCAGUCUUGAGUACAGUAGAGGUGGGCGGAAUUCGUGGUGUAGCGGUGAAAUGCUUAGAUAUCACGAAGAACUCCGAUUGCGAAGGCAGCUCACUGGACUGCAACUGACACUGAUGCUCGAAAGUGUGGGUAUCAAACAGGAUUAGAUACCCUGGUAGUCCACACAGUAAACGAUGAAUACUCGCUGUUUGCGAUAUACAGUAAGCGGCCAAGCGAAAGCAUUAAGUAUUCCACCUGGGGAGUACGCCGGCAACGGUGAAACUCAAAGGAAUUGACGGGGGCCCGCACAAGCGGAGGAACAUGUGGUUUAAUUCGAUGAUACGCGAGGAACCUUACCCGGGCUUAAAUUGCAACAGAAUAUAUUGGAAACAGUAUAGCCGUAAGGCUGUUGUGAAGGUGCUGCAUGGUUGUCGUCAGCUCGUGCCGUGAGGUGUCGGCUUAAGUGCCAUAACGAGCGCAACCCUUAUCUUUAGUUACUAACAGGUCAUGCUGAGGACUCUAGAGAGACUGCCGUGGUAAGAUGUGAGGAAGGUGGGGAUGACGUCAAAUCAGCACGGCCCUUACGUCCGGGGCUACACACGUGUUACAAUGGGGGGUACAGAAGGCAGCUAGCGGGUGACCGUAUGCUAAUCCCAAAAGCCUCUCUCAGUUCGGAUCGAAGUCUGCAACCCGACUUCGUGAAGCUGGAUUCGCUAGUAAUCGCGCAUCAGCCACGGCGCGGUGAAUACGUUCCCGGGCCUUGUACACACCGCCCGCCAAGCCAUGGGAGCCGGGGGUACCUGAAGUACGUAAAAGCAAGGAUCGUCCUAGGGUAAAACUG
This 1425-nucleotide ribosomal RNA is filed under the name uncultured organism. RNAcentral describes it as "SSU rRNA". It matches the Rfam family "Bacterial small subunit ribosomal RNA". The record is from RNAcentral.